UGCAGUCCAGCUCUCCCAGCACUUACCUUAAUUGAAAUAUUCUCUGUGAAGGAGGUGAGAAAUCAGUCAAAUCAACCGUGAAUGGGGUGGGGAGAUGGAAGUUUUCGAUCAACACCCUCCAAGUAGCUGCCUGCGGGGCGUCUUUUUCCUGUUUAUGUAGAGCCCCUCACUGUCUGCGAGGACAAAAAGAUAAGCUGAAAUCCUCAGAGGUUCCAGUGAGUAAAUGAGGACUAAGCGAUGUUUCCUAACGGGAGAUCCUCCGCAAGCAUGCUGCGUUUGGUGGCUCCCUAACUGCUGUGAUAGGCUCCUGUCAGGUCCCUGGAGCCCGGCGAUAAUCAUUGACCUGAUUAGCAGGGAACACUCCCUGUGCGCAGGCAACACACGCGGAGGGUUGGUGGGUCCCCUGGGAAUCGGAAAAAGGCACCAAGGCCACUUGGGAAUCUUGUCUUUUCCAGCCUAAUGGAUGAACUACAGCUAGGAGUAUAAUGUGCAAGGAGAUGAGCCACAGUGUUAAGCCAUCGGAGGACUUUAAGAAAUGUGCUUUCUCCUGCUGUUUUGCAAGGUGCAUUCCUGUUAGAGAUCAGGUACAGUGAAACAAUUAAUAGCCUGAUAGAGCGGAUUUGUAAGAAAAGCCUAAAGCUGAAAAAUGUUUAAAGCGAUGUGAUAAAAGAGAUAGCUGCAUUUGUCUUUGCUCCGAGCCUGGUACAUACUUCAACCUAUGUCUACGUAAAAUGAAUUUAGAGGUUUAUCGCAGCCCUCCAGAGUGCAACUCUCUGAUUUAUUAAAAGUAUUCAUACUAAAUAAGCUGGUUUGGCAGUUUCUUACAGACACGAACACUCAAACCAAGGCAUGGAGAAUACAGCAUCGCUUGUGUAGUUUUUCAAAGAGCAUGUUAAGUUAGCAACAGACUUACAGAAAUGUUUGCAUUAUACUAUUAACCCGAGUAACGUGGGGGAGUA
Molecule: long non-coding RNA, 959 nt
Filed under: Lynx pardinus (Iberian lynx)
Lineage: Eukaryota; Metazoa; Chordata; Mammalia; Carnivora; Felidae
Source: RNAcentral